CCUACGGGAGGCAGCAGUAGGGAGUAUUGCGCAAUGGGCGAAAGCCUGACGCAGCCACGCCGCGUGGAUGAUGAAGGCCUUCGGGUCGUAAAGUCCUUUUAUGAGGGAAGAACAGUCCGGUGAGGAAAUGCUCCGGAUUUGACGGUACCUCAGGAAUAAGCCACGGCUAACUCUGUGCCAGCAGCCGCGGUAAU
Molecule: ribosomal RNA, 194 nt
Filed under: uncultured delta proteobacterium
Lineage: Bacteria; Deltaproteobacteria
Description: partial 16S ribosomal RNA
Rfam family: Bacterial small subunit ribosomal RNA
Source: RNAcentral